RNAcentral lists this ribosomal RNA (301 nucleotides) under uncultured bacterium. RNAcentral's name for it is "bacterial SSU rRNA". It matches the Rfam family "Bacterial small subunit ribosomal RNA", at positions 505 to 805 of the family's 1533-position model. The record is from RNAcentral.
GUGUCAGCCGCCGCGGUAAUACGUAGGGUGCAAGCGUUAAUCGGAAUUACUGGGCGUAAAGCGCGCGUAGGUGGUUUGUUAAGUUGGAUGUGAAAUCCCCGGGCUCAACCUGGGAACUGCAUUCAAAACUGACUGGCUAGAGUAUGGCAGAGGGGGGUGGAAUUCCACGUGUAGCAGUGAAAUGCGUAGAGAUGUGGAGGAACACCGGUGGCGAAGGCAGCCCCCUGGGCCAAUACUGACGCUCAUGCACGAAAGCGUGGGUAGCAAACAGGAUUAGAUACCCUGGCAGUCCACGCCCUAA